CCAUUUAAGGAAAAAAAAAAAAAAAAAAAUUUUUUUUUUUUUUUUUUUCCUUAAAU
Molecule: non-coding RNA, 56 nt
Filed under: Symbiodinium sp. clade D
Lineage: Eukaryota; Dinophyceae; Suessiales; Symbiodiniaceae
Source: RNAcentral